Molecule: ribosomal RNA, 254 nt
Filed under: uncultured bacterium
Lineage: Bacteria
Description: partial 16S ribosomal RNA
Rfam family: Bacterial small subunit ribosomal RNA
Source: RNAcentral
UACGUAGGGCGCAAGCGUUAUCCGGAAUUAUUGGGCGUAAAGAGCUCGUAGGCGGUUUGUCGCGUCUGCCGUGAAAGUCCGGGGCUCAACUCCGGAUCUGCGGUGGGUACGGGCAGACUAGAGUGAUGUAGGGGGAGACUGGAAUUCCUGGUGUAGCGGUGGAAUGCGCAGAUAUCAGGAGGAACACCGAUGGCGAAGGCAGGUCUCUGGGCAUUAACUGACGCUGAGGAGCGAAAGCAUGGGGAGCGAACAGG